CAGUAGCCGCGGGAACACGAAGGGUGCAAGCGUUACUCGGAAUUACUGGGCGUAAAGCGUGCGUAGGUGGUGGUUUAAGUCCGUUGUGAAAGCCCUGGGCUCAACCUGGGAAUUGCAGUGGAUACUGGGUCACUAGAGUGUGGUAGAGGAUAGUGGAAUUUCCGGUGUAGCAGUGAAAUGCGUAGAGAUCGGAAGGAACAUCUGUGGCGAAGGCGACUAUCUGGGCCAACACUGACACUGAGGCACGAAAGCGUGGGGAGCAAACAGGAUUAGAGACCCCCGUAGUCCCUGUCUCUUAUAC
This 301-nucleotide ribosomal RNA is filed under the name uncultured bacterium. RNAcentral's name for it is "partial 16S ribosomal RNA". It matches the Rfam family "Bacterial small subunit ribosomal RNA", at positions 509 to 807 of the family's 1533-position model. The record is from RNAcentral.